GACGAACGCUGGCGGCGUGCUUAACACAUGCAAGUCGAGCGGUAAGGCCCGUUUCGGGGGUACACGAGCGGCGAACGGGUGAGUAACACGUGGGUGACCUGCCUUUAGCUCUGGGAUAAGCCUGGGAAACUGGGUCUAAAUACCGGAUAUGACUCCGCGGUGCAUGCUGUGGGGUGAAAGCCUUGUGCGGCUGGAGAUGGGCCCGCGGCCUAUCAGCUUGUUGGUGGGGUGAUGGCCUACCAAGGCGACGACGGGUAGCCGGCCUGAGA
Molecule: ribosomal RNA, 269 nt
Filed under: uncultured bacterium
Lineage: Bacteria
Description: partial 16S ribosomal RNA
Rfam family: Bacterial small subunit ribosomal RNA
Source: RNAcentral